This 836-nucleotide ribosomal RNA is filed under the name uncultured fungus. RNAcentral's name for it is "eukaryotic LSU rRNA". The stretch from base 1 to 241 matches the Rfam family "Eukaryotic small subunit ribosomal RNA", at positions 1593 to 1831 of the family's 1831-position model. Lineage: Eukaryota; Fungi. The record is from RNAcentral.
UUGCUCUUCAACGAGGAAUUCCUAGUAGGCGUGAGUCAUCAGCUCGCGUCGAUUACGUCCCUGCCCUUUGUACACACCGCCCGUCGCUACUACCGAUUGAAUGGCUUAGUGAGGUCUCCGGAUCGGUAGCGAGGAGCCGGCAACGGCACCUCGCCGCUGAGAAGCUGAUCAAACUCGGUCAUUUAGAGGAAGUAAAAGUCGUAACAAGGUUUCCGUAGGUGAACCUGCGGAAGGAUCAUUAGUGAAUUUGGAGCCUCGCGGCUUCGCCACUUUCCGGCUGUGCGCCCUUUGCGGGGCUUGCACGCCGGGAAUCCUUCACACACCUGUGCACCGUUCGUUUGGUGGGACCUCCGGGUUCGCCAUUCGCCUUUACACCGAACGUCUGUCUCGAAUGUCUAAACUUUUAAAUAAGUGCAAUACAACUUUCAACAACGGAUCUCUUGGCUCUCGCAUCGAUGAAGAACGCAGCGAAAUGCGAUAAGUAAUGUGAAUUGCAGAAUUCAGUGAAUCAUCGAAUCUUUGAACGCACCNUGCGCCCCGUGGUAUUCCGCGGGGCAUGCCUGUUUGAGUGUCACGUGAAACCUCAUCCGGUCGAUGUCAAAGUCGCACUCGGGUGGAUUUGGACCGUGCCGUUUGUUCGGCUCGUCCUGAAAUGCAUUAGCUGGGUCGCCGGACCGUGUCGGCCGUGGUGUGAUAAUCUAUCUGCGCCUAUAAGUGCCUUUGGUUCGUGCGGUGCGGCUCAUAACCGUCCCUAACGAGACAACUCUCUUUUAACGCUUUGGCCUCAAAUCAGGUAGGACUACCCGCUGAACUUAAGCAUAUCAAUAAGCGGAGGA